Molecule: ribosomal RNA, 52 nt
Filed under: Silene italica
Lineage: Eukaryota; Viridiplantae; Streptophyta; Magnoliopsida; Caryophyllales; Caryophyllaceae
Also listed under: 2 other names
Description: partial 26S ribosomal RNA
Source: RNAcentral
CCCAGGUCAGGCGGGGCUACCCGCUGAAUUUAAGCAUAUCAAUAAGCGGAGG